Molecule: RNA transcript, 23568 nt
Organism: Alligator mississippiensis (American alligator)
Lineage: Eukaryota; Metazoa; Chordata; Crocodylia; Alligatoridae
Exons: 4
Source: RefSeq, a predicted model, not a curated record
CGCGGAGCCGCCCGCGCCCGCGGGAGCCCCCGCCCCGCCCCCGCCCCGCCUCCGCCCCCCGGGGCCGUGCGGACACUCGUGGCGCGCGUGAGGGGGGCGCUCGCGCGGGGGUGGGGGGGAAGGAGAGGGGGCGCCGCCUCGCGCGCGUGGGGGAGGGCGCGGAUCCACCCUGAGGUGAUCUCCCUCCUGGCCUAUGAAGGGGCUGGGGAUCUACUCUGAGGCGACCUCUCAGGCGAUCUACUCCGGGGUGACCUCCUUGAGGUGAUCUACUCCGACGUGACUUACUCUGAGGUGAUCUACUCUGAGGCGAUCUACUCUGAGGUGACCUCCUUGAGGCAAUCUACCCUGGGGUGACCUCCCUCAGGCGACCUCCCUCAGGCGACCUACUCUGAGGUGACCUACUCUGAGGUGACCUCCCUCAGGUGACCUACUCUGAGGUGAUCUACUCUGAGGUGAUCUACUCUGAGGUGACCUCCCUCAGGUGACCUAGUCUGAGGUGACCUCCCUGAGGUGAUCUACUCCAAGGUGACCUCCCCCGGGUGAUCUACUCUGAGGUGAUCUACUCUCAGGUGACCUCCCUCAGGUGACCUAGCCUGAGGUGACCUCCCUGCAGUGAUCUACUCCAAGGUGACCUUCCCCGGGUGAUCUGCUCUGAGGUGAUCUACUGAGGUGACCUCCCUGAGGUGAUCUACUCCAAGGUGACCUCCCCCGGGUGAUCUACUCUGAGGUGAUCUACUCUCAGGUGACCUCCCUCAGGUGACCUAGCCUGAGGUGACCUCCCUGCAGUGAUCUACUCCAAGGUGACCUCCCCUGGGUGAUCUGCUCUGAGGUGAUCUACUCUGAGGUGACCUCCCUCAGGUGACCUACUCUGAGGUGACCUCCCUCAGGUGAUCUAGUCUGAGGUGAGCUCCGUGCUGGCCGUGUGGCAGGGUCCGAGGCUCGCCCGCGAGGUGUCCGGUCGGCCCGCGCCGGGCUGUGUCACGGGGGGUGGGGGGGUGGCGGUGGGCAGCGCAGUCACGGCCUCUAGCGCUUCGUUGUGCACGGGUGUGCAAAACGGUGAGCGACGGGCAAGGUAAGGCACUUCAGUGGUGACCCCCAUGUACAUUUCCUGGGAGAAGUGGGAGCCAAGUUAUGUUGAAAAAUACUCAAAAACACCCCCCCCCAACAGUCAAUUGAUAAUUGGUAGCAGAAGUGUCUCGAAGGCGAUCAAAAAGAUAGUUGCUCGUUUCCUACAGAUGGUCUCGUCUUCUAAACAGUAGAUCAGAGCCUAGAUGCCUGACUUCUUAUUUUGGCCCUGCUUCUGACUCCGUCUGACCCUUGGAUGGGUCAUUUUUAUUUACUUCUGCUGCACGUUCCACUAAGACCAAAAUUAAGUAAAUUGGCAAAAAAAAAAAAUAAAAAGUAAUGUUUGUAAAACAUUUUUAAGGUUCCUGGGUACGUGAGUGAAUUUUAGUUUAAAAGUAGCACGUCCUUUUCACGUGCAGGCAAAACUGGCUCUGUAGAAAAAAACAAAUGCACAAUUUUGGCCUGGAUUGAGUGUGAACAGUGGAGCUGAACGCCUCGGGAAAGUCGCGUUUACCGUGGGAAUAAGUGUAAUGGCCUUAAGUAGAGUUGUAUUGUAAAAAAGGUUUCUGAGUAAUAUAAAUAUUUUUCCUUCACUUUCAUCCAAAUGAAAGACUUGUGCAAUAAAGUUUAGCUUUGUUUUUGUUCGCUUGUAUAACAUUAAAAAAAUGCUUCUUAAAAUGAAUGAUACAUAUACAUCCUCUAUAGGUGAGAUCACACCAAUAUUUUGAAGAAAAUACACAUGGAAAUGUUUCCAUUUCUAUCUGUUUAUCUAUCUAGGAAUCAAUAUAUCUAUGGGGGGUGGACAAACUAAUAUAUAUAUAUAGCUCCCCCCGCCCAAUCCUCCAUAAGUUGAAAAUCAGAGUACAUAUUUAUGGAUUUGGCAUUGUUUCUCCCAGCAGAGAAAAAGCGCCCAAACACGAGAGCCACGCUUCACAACUGUUAAUGCAUUUCAGAUGAUUGUCGUGGGUAGAUACAGUUUUGUAAACAAAUUACAUUUUUGUGUCAUCACUGUAACGUGGUUUGUGUGAUAUCGAUCCCUUUUACAACACAAGAGAAGACUUAAAAUAACAUAUGCGUGAUUAUAUUGUUUAAAUUAAUAAAGACAUAAUUUUGUUCUCUUCGUAAUGCGGAAAGAUAGUGUUUAUUUCAAGUGAUUACAAAAUACCACCUUAACAGGGCUAUUUCAGUAGGCAUUUCCCUGAAUAUGAUUGCCAGAUCCAUCUUACGUUAGAUAUAUUGUUAUCAACCUCAAAGUAUUGCUUUCUUAUGAGUUUUAUGGGAUCUUGCAGGUUUAGAGAAACUAAGCAUGGGGUGUGACCAGAGUCCUUGUAUAGUAAUGACAGGAAGUUGAGCCAAUCAUUAAUUUAUUUUCUGUGGGAAGGUGAAAAUACUCCAAAAUUUCUAUUGGUAUGCCAUUGUUUUCCAAAUACAGUGAACAGUUAAUACUGUGGGUGCAAGAGUCUUUGCUGAUAAACAUUUCACCCAGUGUGUAACCUGUGCCUCUACUUCAUCUGUAUGAUUGCCCAUAUUAUUGUAUUUUUCCUUAGCUACAGAGGAAUCUGUCAGUAACUACAUGGGCAGAGGAUAACAAAUACUAAUUAAUGUCUAAAAAUUGAUUCUAGCAGCCUGGUUUCCCCUGCUGUGCUCCAAAACUCUCGAGUGCACUCCUUGUUUCUUUAAUUUUGUGAAGUAUGUGUGCUUUCAGUUGCUGCUUAAACCUAAUAGAUCUUUACUGUGCCUGCAGCAGUGAGUUCAGGUCUCCUGGCCUCUUAAAAGUCCAGUGCUUAAAAUCUUUUGGAAGAAGAAAAAAGGGAAGGGGUAGUGAGGACGAUGGCUGGAGGCUAGUGUUAAUGGCUUUCACCCUUGUGUCUAUCUAUCCUAGGUUACCCAGGAGUGAGAAAGAUUAGAUCUAGAUCCAAGCUUCAGGUUUGUUCUGAUUUGGUGCUUUGUCCAGAAUUGUGUUUUGUAAUAAAUAAAAUGACCUGAGUUAUAUUAGUUCACGACAAAUGAGAAAUAUGUCUUUUUUUUUCUUUUUUCUUUUUUUUACUCCUAAGACUCCUGGGACCUGCAGAUACAUGGUGGUAGUUGUACAUGAACAAUUCCCUUUGAUUUCAUUGCAAGUUGUUUGCAAACACUGGCUGCAUAACCAGAUCUCUAGUAUUCCAAAUUAUGUUAAAAAAAUUAUGUUUGGAGUAAUAGCUAAUAUAAACAGGGAAACUCAGACAAGAAGUGACAGAGGAGCUUGUUCACAGCAGUACAAACCAAGUUGUGUCGUGGCAAUUUUUUGCUAGUUCAAAGAAACAAGCAGCAUAGAAAUAUCCAUAUAAAAAUAACACUGCGACUGAUAAUGGACCAGCUUGUUGUUGUCUUCCAACCAACUAUUCAGUGCAUGAGCAGAAUCAUGGGCUGAAUCAAGAAAAAUGAGUGUACUCAUAGUGGAGAGCAUACUGAGCCUGAGUAGUGGAAUGGAAAGGAAUUGAGUCAGGAAAUUAAACUUUACUCUGAAAAGUCUAUGAAAAGGCUUUACUCUCUGCGAUAUAAAGAAAGCAAAAUGAAAAUCCAUCUAGUGCAAAAAGAAUAAAAUCUGAUACAAAUUUGGAGUCAUCUUGCGCACAAGAGUAACAGGAAGGAUCGUUUCAGGUCAGUCCUAUUUUUUAUUCUAUCGCAGGCUUCCUAUUUACCCUUAGGGGAAAGUUAAGCUCUGUGCCUCAUUUUCCCCCAGAUGUGAAAUGGGAUAACAACUGCCCAGGGGAGUGGCAAAGGUAAUUCAGUAAUGCAUAUGGAGUAUUUUGAGACAUGGGGUGGAAAGAUUUAUUAAUGCAAACUAUUAUUAAAUACAUGUAACCCCAAAACAACAGGUAAAACAUCUCUUUAAUGGUAGGGACUAGCCGAGAAACUGCUUUUUGCAAUAUAAUGUGCAGAAAGUUUCCAUUUUACACCAAAGAUUGCAACAAAAAAGUUACUUCCUCAUAUUGCCUUUGCUAGUGUAUACUUGUGAUAAUGUUUCCUGUGAGCACAUAGUCUGUAAAGUGUAUUAAGUGUACCUGGGUCUUCACAAUCUAACAAGAGUGCGAACUGAGGUUUAGCAAUCGCUUUACUGGGACAUGGGCACUGUACUGUUGGAUUUUGUGCAGGGUUUGCAGUACUUCUGCCACACCUUGCCAAACCCGGAGCAAGGCAGUCUCUUACUCCAGUGUCAGAGCAUGAUUUGGUGUGCCUUGCAUAAUAGCAUCUCAGCUUGCCACCAGGAGAGAGAUCCAGUUUUCUGUUACUCAGCGAUGCUGGACUGAAUAUACAGCAUAAAGCGAUAGUGUCAUACAUACUAGCUUCUCAGUCUGAGGCUGCUCCCAUUCAUUCUCUUUAAUAUGCAACUCAUGCUGCCUCUGGCUGCUGUGUUAUGGGUCCCCCAAGUUUUUUAAUGUAGAUUGGAUGUCGCCUUUUUAUUUGUAUAUCAGGGAUAAUAAUGCAGGAACAUCUGACCUCAACAGGAAAAAGGAAGAAAUCGAGUACCAGCAAUUUUUUCCAAGCUCGAACAAUGCAUCGGUGAUCUACUGUAACCUGUAUGUCACUUCUCAAACGGAGUCUAAAAUGUUGUUUGUCUAUAUGCAAAUAUACUUCAGUUUAUUUCUGCAGAACUGAUUAUUCUAAAUACAGUCUGUGUACUGUAGAUUUGACUUGGCAGAUGGAAGGUACAUUGCACUUUUUGUGCAGGGAUUUCUUAAGAAUAUUUAUUUGGUUUGUCCUAUAAUGUUUCUUUGGCAGUCAAGUCCGUCUUAACUAUUAGGUGCCAAAUACACAUAUGUCUUUGUUCUGAAAGAGUUGUUUUUUUAGCACAAGGGAUCAUGCAAUGAUUGUAGACCAGUCCCUUUUCUAUAGCAGAGAUCAUAGACCAAACAUUUUUCCAUACAAAAGUUAACAAGUAGUUUCUUUCUGUAGCCAAUUGUAGCUCAGCUUCUAGCGCAUCAUAUAUGUUUUUGUAGCUAGCUUCUGUUCAAAAAAAUGUUCUUCCUCUUGCUUUACAUACACCCAUCCUCUUAGUUUUGCCUGGGAUCCACGUUCAUAUUUCUUUGUUGAAAGUCAUGCAGUUAACAUUGCAACGAUGAAAAAGUAGGAAGUAGUUUAAAUGCAAGAUGUUUAUUCAUAUAUUUAGUUAUUAAGUGUGUGAUAUCAGAAUAAUCUAUCACACUUUUAUUGGUGAUGUUAAAAAAAGAAAGCUUUAAGGACUACCACAAUUGUCCGGGAUAAUCUGCACAAACCAGUCGUACCACUACACCCACUAGUUUCUGCAUCAGACCCAUCUCUUUUCUAUGAUACAUGGCAAUCUUUUAGAAAUAUAACUAGUCUGGGCUUAAAGACUUUGUGACAGAGACUUCAGGUCUUCCAAUCGUUUUAUUUUGCAUUUGAUUCAGCCUGAGGUAUGUUGAUUUAAUUCUUUAGCAUCCCUUGUCCAGAGCAGUUGAGUAUGGGAUUGCAGAAGAGCAAAAAAUGUUCAUAUUCUUAAAGAAAUAUUUCAAUCUAUUAAUAAAAAGGUACAUAUUUUCAAAGAAAAGGUUUCUUUGUAAAACAUGAAAAAUUGUGUUAGGCAGUUAAGGGUAGAAUUCAGUCUGUUCUUGUAGUUAAAAUCAUCAUUUUGAGCAAAUUCAUUCUUCAGUAGUUGCCAGAUUUUUAUUUUAGCACUGCAUUUCCUCAUGUCCAGAAGCUGCUACUGAGUUGUGCAUUUAACCUAUGCAAAAGACUGGCCAUUUAAACACAUCAGCUUGUACCUGUAAUUUACCAAAAUUCCAGUGGUGUCAACAAAAUAGUGAAAACAAACCAAAAAAAAUCUGGCUCUGAUUUCUUUGGGCCGUUACAAAGUCUUUGUGAUAAACUGAAAUAGCCAAAUUUGAAUAUACAAAAUUAAGUUGGCAGUAAAAGGCUUGAGGAGCUUACUAGAAUUUGGUUCUUAAUGAAGACAGCCGAAGAACUUGGACAACAACGCAAAACUGGGUAAAUGAGGGGUAGGAAGUCUGACUGCAUUCCUAGAACCGUUUUAAAGUUCACAGUUGCACAUAUUGAGGUCAAUAAACAAAACCCAUUUUCUACAAUGAUUUGAAUGAAUGAAGUAUGGUGGUUUGAAUUUUUUUCCUUUGGCCAACACAGAAGCAGUGAACAUAGCCAAAACCUUAAUAUUUAACAAGCCCUGGACAAAAAGUGAUUACCAGUAUUUGCUGAUUUGAGUCCCACCCCUUCCGAAAAGAAUUGUAUGUUAUUUUUCACACUUGACGAUUAGUUUUGAUCUAGCAGUUCUCAGGAAAGCAGGCUAGGAUCUUUAGUUUCCCUGAAAACAAGGGCCAUCAGCCACAGAAAGAGAAAGUGACUGCACUAAACUUGCCUUAGUGGCUAUGAGGGCUUUCAAGUCUGGCAGUUUAAGUAGUGAAGAUGAAAGUGAGGACAGUUCUUGGGCAGGGGACUGCAGGAGGAAUGUGAUUCAUAGGACAUAGUUACUACUGUAAUUACAAGUGCAGCUGCUAAAGUAACUUCUGCCAGUACUAAAAAAAUCAAUGUCAUGUCCAGUAAUCUGUUGCUUGCAGUGCAAGUGAUAAAGAUGGGAACAGAAGUAGCACAAUAUUUUUUUCCAGUUACCAGCUCUGGACUUGUGUACUGUACAGCUCUGUUUCCACCUGGUCUGAAAUGGAUGCCAACACUUUACUUUUGUAAAGUGUACAGGACUUUUAGGUGUUCAGAGUGGAACAAAACCAUGUGAUUAAAACUGGCUGUUUUUUUUCUUAAACAGUAAAUUUGCCUCUGCUCCUCCCUCCCUACCCCCCCAGAAAAAAGGGAGAAAAGAAGUGAUUUCUAAGUGACUGCAACUUUGUGAAGCCAGGUCCAAUUUAGUAAUUUAAUCUAAAAAAAAAUUAAAUGUGUCAAUUUCUAAAAACAACAUCAAUAUAUUUCAUUACAGUAUUUUAAAAUCAACUUUAAAGGGUUUUUAAAGAAGGUAAAUAUCCUUAAAAUCAAAUGAAACACAUCUCUUUAGGUUUCAGUCAAAAUUCCAAGAAACUUUCAGUUUGCCUCAAGCCAAAGCAUCUCUUACUUCCCCUGUGCUUAAUUGUCAUUUCACUCACAAACAAAAAAGCCCGCAUGUUUGCCCAGCUGUAUAUAACCUAAAAGUCAAAAUUUCCUAACUAAAAACAUAGCUAAGACUAUCUUUCAUAAUUAACACAGCAUUCAUCUACAACUCUUAAGUGAAAUACCUGUUCUUACCCCUUGUUGAAGUGACUUGCAGCAGGUCACAUAGUGGGUUAGUGUCAGGCAGCUCUAGGGUUUGGCAGCAGAAUCGAUUUCCAUAGUCGUGGAGUCUGCACCUGCAUUAGCAAUCCAAGCGUCACCUGAGCAAUAACAGGAACGACUUUGCUUUGCCACAUAAGCAAACAUUUGUGUUGCUUAAUUGUAGCAUGACGUUAAAAAAGCUGUUCUCCCUCAUUUUGUUCAUUCCUUUCUUCCUCCUCUUCAAAGGAGAUCACAUUUCAGUUUCUCUUAAGAAGAGUGAGAAUGAGUUACAAACUUUUGUUUUUCCUGGUCUUUGUUUCUAGAAGAUAAGGAAGAUGCAUCAUUCCUGUCAUUCAUUCUUUUCCGAUGGGAAGAUGUGUUUUGACGUACGUUCUGCCUUGGUACUUGAGCAAAGCCUUUGGUGGUGUGCUCUGUGAAAGGGAUACUCUAAAUGGAGAGUCAGCUGAAUAAGAUACCUCUCAUGACACAUGGAUGGUCAACAUGAAGUUGCUUUUUACAUAGAUAGUUGGAAUUGCCUUCAAACAAACAAGCAGCCAGGAUCAGCUGACAUGAUCUUUCAGGCAUUCUGUGGAUACUAUUCAUGGCUCAUUCACACUUUGUGCAGAUUUGGAAAUGCCUGUCGCCAUCUCGUGUGGUCCUCAAGUCCCCGUGUUUGACGGCAUGAAAGAAAAAGAGGUCAAGGAUUUGUUGGGGUUGGAGGCCACAUGACACAUCUUCUAUUGGUUGUAUGCCUAAUUAUGCAACUAAAGAGAUCCCUUCUUCAGGCAGUUGGGAAGAAAAGAACUGGCGAGAAAAGCUAAUUUCAUAGAUGUGCUGAAAUCCUGACUAGUGCUUGAACAAGAAGGUAUUUUUUAAUUGAAAUAAAGAGACUCUGCAGAAAAGACAUGCAGAUUGUAGUCCAGAAACUUCUGCUAAAACAGAAACUGGAGAUUAAAGUGUUAGGAUUUUUAAAAGGUGAAAUGGUGGUAGGUUGAACAAGAAAUCCAAGUGGAACUCAACAAGGCGGCAUCCUGGUGUGUGUGCACUAAAGCUGUAGCGGGGAAGUAGUCUAUUAUCUGGGGUAGGAAGAGUGGGCUGAUGUCAAACAAGUUAACGAACAUGGGCAAGGCCCCAGUCUUGUUCCUGCUGAAGUCGCUUGGAGUUUAACUGUGGUGAUUAAAAACCCUCUGUUUCAAUUUAGGGGCUUCCAUCACUGUUAAGGUGAAGGGCCCAAUCCCUUUUUUUUCAUUUUGUGGAGUCUGCCAGCAUCUCCCUCAGCUGGGGGGUGAGCUGCCUGUGGCCCCUGAGCAGCAGGAGGCCCCAGACCUUCUCUCCACGGUGAUGACACCCCUUGGGGCCACCCACGCAGGUGGCUAGUGGGCAGGUGCUGCCCCAGCUCACAGGCAGCACCCAGCCCAAUCCAACUGUUCUCCGAGCCUGAGCUGGGGCAGCUUCCCCACAGGUGUACAGUGUGACACAAUCAAACAGCAAAAAUGGCCAAUUUUCAUCACAUGUACAAGUGCUUCCGGACCAUAGUGGGCCUCCCAGGACACCAGGACUGUUCCAGGACCGUAGUCCUCUAAUUAUCAUAAGCCUACUUUUAAUUUCCAGCCUAAACUUUAUUCCCAGCCAGUUUAUACCCAUUUGUUCUUGACCCAGCAUAGUCCUUUGGUUUAAAUAGCUUUUCUCCCUCUCUGGUGUCCCUCUGUAUCUCCAUGUAUUUAGAGAACAAGCCUACCCCUUCUCAACCGUUCUUUUGCUCAGGGCCACAAGCCAAGAUUUCAGCAUUCUUCCUAAAACAGACUCUAUUUCCCUGGUCAUCUUAGUAGCCCUCCUCUGUUCCUGUCGCAGUGUGAAUUAGUCUUUCUUGAACAAGGAUGACUUGUGCAAUCUACAUCAAUUUGUGUCUCGCUUGUGACAACGGGGGACUCAGGUUCUGUUGUUCGAUACUAUACUUCACAGGCAACAUGAAAACACAGAAGUGUAAGUGUCUCAGAAUGGCACAUCAAGGCAAAGCAAACAGCACACAGACCAAGUGGCUAGAAUCCAAACCCUCCCAUCACAGAUUGUUGUGACAGGUGAGAGGCAAACCAUGCCAGGGCUAAGCCUGACACAGUCUUGCAAUGGCUUGCUACCAAAUUAAAAGAAUUCCAGGAUGGACAUCGUCACAUGGUGUAUAAAGUCCUGACAGAGAGAGGGAGGACUUGCUCUAGUUAAUAAACCAUUAUCCAUUUCAAGUACAGUGGCUCUGUUGUAACUGUCCUGGAAAAAUAAUAACCCCUUUUUCAUUUUAUCUUUGCUCAUUUAGACCUGACAAAAGCAGACCGCUAGACUUAAUACUAGGUAUUAAAAACUGAACUUUAAAUAUUUGAAGAAAGGAUUUGUCAUUUUCUGAGCCUAAGAGAAUCCUGCCCCAAACAGAAACCAACAGACCAUCUACACAGUUCUGACCAAAUACACCAUUUUACAUGAUGCCCUUCCAUCUCACCCCCAGCAAAAAUUCUUCAUUCCCAUCUCAGUACUGGGUGUGUCUACACAUGCAUUAAUGUGCUUAGUUAAUGCGCAUUAAAUCUAGUACCUCUGGACUCCUAUACAUGUGCACAGAGCCUGCUCUGAUGCAUUAGAAAUUCAGUGCAUUGGAGAAGACUUGAUUAAUCAAGUCAGCAGGGGCACAAAACUUGACACACUCAAGGAGCCUUCCACGUCACAUGUAUCAGCAUCACUGUGUGUCUCCUCGCUGAAGGAAUGGCGGUGGGGCACUUCGAAAUAAAGCAUGUUCCAUAAGCUCUAGUUCAAAGCGCCCCACUGCCAUUUUUUCAGCAUGGGGAUGCUGAUACACAUGACAUGGGUGCUUUUAAUUAGCACAGUUUGUUAAUUAAAGCGCCUGGCACUGGGUCCCACACCACAUGUAAAAAUGCCCUCCAUUGUCAGGUAUUCUACUAUGUAGGAAAAUGCGCAUUAGCCUGUCUUAAAGAGUACAGUUUUUCAAUGAUACCUUAAUGCGCAUUACAAUGUGCUAAUGUGCAUUUCACAGAUACUUGGGCUGGAAGGGACCUCGGCAGAUCAUCAAGUCCAGCCCCCCGCCAGAAGGCAGGAAGUCAGCUGGGGUCAUAGGAUCCCAGCAGGAUAAACAUCCAAUUUCUUCUUGAAGGUGUUCAAAGUAGCUGCUUGAUCCACCUCCAGUGGCAGGCUAUUCCAGACCUUGGGGGCUCGGACAGUAAAGAAGUUCUUCCUUAUGUCCAGCCUGAGAUGGUCUUGCAGGAGUUUAUAACCGUUUGAACUUGUCAUCCCUUGGGGGGCUCUGGGAGGAGCUCCAGGCCAGAGUCCAGAGACUGAGACUGCGUGCAUUAAAACACCUGUGUCAAUGAGCCCAAUUUAGUCUAAAUUUACAUAAUUGAAAGUCUGAGUAUUUUGUUCUGGGAAGGAAAGCCCAAACAAAAUUUAGGAAAACGAACAAAUCAAGUAUCCUGUACAAAAUAUUCACAACACGCCCUCACCCAUGCAGAAUGCAAUAAAUAAAGUAUAACUUCAGCAUUGCAAAUAAUAAAAUAAAACUUCAGCAUUGCACAAACAGCACUGCAAAUUCAUUGCUUGCUUAGCUACAGAUCUGGUACGUGGUUAAUCAUGCACAACGCAUUUUUGGGCAUGUAAUGUUGAUGCAAAGUUUUGAUAAUUUGGCCUUGCAUGUUUAUAGUGUCAUUAGUGGUAGGGUCAGUUCCACCCUCUCCACCCGAUAACACCUGUUCUGAAUAUCUGCAUUUACUAAGGCUUCAGCGUGCAUGCUGAAUGAAACUUAAUACACAAACUUUGGAUCGUGCUUGGAAAUAAACUAGACACAUGCUCAGCAGCUCAGAAACACUCUUACUACUUUUAUGUGACUUGACUCAGACUUUGAAAUUUCCCAGGGGUUGCAACAUCCUGUGUAUGUUUAAAAGCAAAAUAGAAAAUUGAAAUGGAAUGAAACACAUUCCUCACCCUGUCCUUCAAAGUCUAUGAAUAUCACUUUGGACUAUCCAGAAAUCAGUUGUAUUUUUUUUUUCUUUAUUACAUAUAGUUUUCCUUUUUUAAACAAAUUUUAAAUUUAAACUUUUCCUGUUUGUUUGAAAUAUUUUAUUUUACAUAAAAAUUGGGUGAUGGUAGGAUCAAAGCUGUAAGACUGGAAAUGCAUAAAGAAUGAGGUUCAAAAACUAUUAAAUAUUGUUAAGUUCCCCUGUUAGUUUACUUCCAGAAAACAUGGCAGGUUGAAGAAAAUGACUUGAUAUUCAAUUUAAACACUGCUUUUCAAGUUGUCCACAGAAAUGUUAUAUGUGCAUUCAUUUAUAUUUAUUAACAGACAUUUGCACUUGCAAAUAAGGUAACUGCAUGUCUAUCUGGUUAAUUUACAUGAAAAUAGGUACAAAAAAAAUUGUGGCAAUUUUGGAAGGCGCCUUUAAUGGCACAAACUAAAUUAAGUGUACCCAUUCUCAUGAACAAAAACUUGUAUAAUGCUUUCCAAAGAAAAUGGAAUUUCAUAUAUGUAAACAGGUAGAUGUGCAGGGUGAGUUAUCAGAAUAUAAGAAGCCUAUUAUAGAAUGCAAAAAUCAAUGAAACUGCCUCCCAAAUAUAUAAAUGCGAUAGCUGUGAAUGCAGAUGUUAUAUUUGGAUAUUUGUGCAAUGAUCUCGCAAUUGUUUUAUUAUGUAUUUUCAUGUGUACAUAUUUGAUUUGUGUGCAUGAUCACAGCAUUUGUGUAUUCAAAUUAGAAGCCAAAUGACAUGAGUCUUUUUUUUUUUAUUAGGGGUCCUGGGAUUUUGAACUUUAAAAAAAAACAAACCCCAAGAAGUCAAGUCUUUAUUGAUCACAUUACUUAUAUAAAGACCUGCAGGGAGGUAUACAUGAGAGUUGCUUACUACACAGACAGAAGCACUUGCAAAUUUUAUAGGCACGUCAGUGGAAAUCUACUAAAUGUGAAAGCUCUAAUGUAUGAAAAGCUUUGAAAACACGUCAAGCUGAAACACGUCAACUCUUCAGAUUGCAGAAAACAAAACAGCACCGUGGUGUCUUUAAAGCUUUGUCCCGUGCUGUUGAAUUUCACUGUCAGAGGCAUUUCUGCCAUGCUUAGAAAGUGACAAGUAGGAGGACUGAAAAAUAGACGUGAAACUUAAUCAGUUCACCUCAUUUUUUAAAAUAAUUUCCUUAGAAACAUUGUUUACAAUACUAACUUCCAGCAUUAUGGGUGCAAUAUUGCAAACCGCACAAGCAAGCGAUUUUACUUGAUGCAGAUUUCAGUACCUGGAUGGAUGAACAUUAUGGAAAAGAAGGCAGUUUAUGGAAACCACUAAACUGGGAAAACUCCCCCUUUGCAGCAGAGAAAUACUUGUGAAAAAAUUAUUAAAACUUCUUAGUGUAAAUGAUAUUGGUUUUGGUAUGUCGGUGCAGUGCAAAUUGUUUGCUGAAAGCAAGCAGGCUGCUACCUGCCCUCCUGCCACCCAGUGGUGAGGCACCUCAAUAACCACCUACUGUGACAGCUAUCCUGGGAUAGCUGCGCAUCUGUCUAGUCCUGAUAGUGGUGUAAUCUGCACCGGAUUUAAAAAUUAAGCACAAGGUAAAUGAUGCCAGGAAUAGGCAUGUCUGAGAGCAGAGACAUGAAUACAACUUUGUGACAGAGGCAGAAAGUGAGGGCUGAGGAUACGCAGCCUGCCUGAGCAGGAGCUGGGCUGUCUUGAUACCCAUAGUCUAUGCUCAGAGUGUGAAAAAGAUACCCCAAAAGUUUCUCUCUGGUGCCGUGAUGGCAACUUGAUUGUUAUUUAUCACUUUUCUAUUUUACACACCUGGAGGAUCAUAUUUUACUCAGUAGAAAAUAAUAUUAUUAUAAAGGUAGGCUUAUUGCCAUGUUCUCUCCGUGCUUAUGUGCGUGGACGUCUACUACAACUAUGAAUUAUAGCUAUCAGUGGUAGCGUAAUUUUUGUGGAGGGAGGGAAUUGCUUCUAACUGCUAUAUGAUAUCAAUGAUAACCUCAGGGCUAGGGUUUCAAAAGCCUUCACAUGCCUAAAGACUCAUAGGUUCAUAGAUGUAGGGUCGGAGGGGACCUGAGCAGAUCAUCGAGUCCGACCCCCUGCCUGGGCAGGAACAAAUACUGGGCUCAAAUGACCCCAGCCACGUAGGCAUCAAGCUGCUUCUUAAAGACCCCCAAGGUAGGAGCCAGCACCACUUCCUUUGGAAGUUGGUUCCAGAUCCUAGCCGCCCUAACCAUAAAGUAGUAUCUCCUGGUGUCCAGCCUGAACCUACUCGCAAUCAAUUUGAGGCCAUUGUUCCUUGUUACCCAGGGAAGUGCUUGGGGGAGCAGGGUCUCACCCAUUCCCCUCUGGUCUCCCUUGGUAAGUUUAUAGACGGCCACCAGAUCCCCUCUCAGCCUUGUCUUGUGAAGGCUGAACAGGUUCAGGUCCCGUCGCCUCUCCUCGUAGGGCCUGCCCUGCUGCCCCCUGACCAUGCAAGUGGCCUCCUCUAGACCCUCUCCAUGCUGUCCACAUCCCUCCUGAAGUGCGGUGCCCAGAACUGGACGCAGUACUCCACCUGCGGCCUGAUCAGUGCCGCAUAGGGGGGGAGGAUCACCUCCUUGGACCUGCUUGCAAUGCAUCUGUGGAUGCACGACAAGGUAUGGUUAGCCUUGCUGACCACAUCCUCACAUUGGUGGCCCAUGUUCAUUUUGGAAUUGAUAAUGACUCCAAGAUUUCUUUCUGCCUCUGCGCUGACAACAAGGGAGUUCCCCAGCCUGUAGGUCUGCUGCUGGUUCUCCCUGUCCAAGCGCAGCACCCUGCACUUGUCAGUAUUGAAUCCCAUCCUAUUCACAAUCGCCCACCCCUGUAACCUGUCCAGGUCCAGCUGUAUCCUGUCCCUCCCUUCUAGCAUGCCCACCUUGCCCCAGAUCUUGGUGUCAUCAGCAAAUUUGAACAGGGUGCUUUUCACCCCCUCGUCCAAGUCGCUAAUAAAGAAAUUGAACAGUGCAGGCCUGAGGACCGAGCCCUGGGGGACUCCACUGCCCACAUCCCUCCAGGUCUCCAGGAACUAGUAGUAUUUUCAAAAUCACCAAACUCAUUGAUAAUUACGAGUUGAGCCCCUACCCUGCCUACUGCUUUAUGAAUGCCACAAGGAUUCCAGCAUCUGCUUAGCCUCCUCCAUGCCUCUAUUUAAUCACUCUGGCAGUGUAUAUAGACUACAUAUAGGUGUGCUCCAAGACUUUGGGAGCUGUGAUCCUUCCUCAUGGGUAACAGCUGCAUCUUCGGGGCGGUGUUAGCUUUUGUGGCUGAUGCUCCACAUGGAGGGUCUUUCUCAUGAACUGAGCUCUGGUACGACUGCAUUCAGGGCCUUCUGUGCAUAGGAUUUGGCAGGAGAGACGCCAGCAUUACCCUCCGAGUCAUUACAGGAGUCUCCAGAUCUCUUCACAAUUAAGUAGCAGGUUAUCUGGGUUGGAAUCAGCUAGACGAGAGUGGCACUGCAACCUGGCACAAGGUAUUUCAUGACACUCAGCUCUGAGGUACUUCUUGAUCGCUGAAUCAAUCAUUCAGCCGGCUGCGGAUGGGAGGAGCAUUUGACUUUUGAUACUGUCCUAGCAAUUAUCACGGGAUUUCUAGGCUACUUUAUCACUCCAUCCAGGAAGAGCGCAGACCGUCUAUAGACGCUUCCUCAGCCUGACGAGGGGUGUUUGUGCCCAAAAGCUUGCUAAGAAGAAUUUUUCCAACUAUUUGAGUUGGUCUAAUAAAAGACAUCGGAUUUACUCAAAGAACCUUGUCUGCCGUCAGUGAAUACACUGCAGAGGAUGUUCUGUACUGAAUAGUGAUGGAUCAUAACUAUGCAGGCUCCAGAUUUGCUAACUCUUGUCAUCCAAAGGUAAAGGUAAUGCAUCUUGGGCCUGUGUAAAGUAGAAAGAGAGUGAAUGGUGACAUGUUGCAGUAUUAGUUGCUGGCUUGUAGUGAUGCAGGUGAUGACAGGUCACCAGCAACUGCUGGUGUUUUCACAAAAACCAGCAAGAAACCCCUUUUGGUUUACUCUUGGCUUCAGGUGUUUUAAUAUUUCCCCUCCUCUUACAGGAACGUCUAUAGCAUUUGAACUAACUUCUGAGCCAAGCCUGAGAGCAGGUUUAAGGAUUAGUAGGAGUGGAGUUAAUGGGAUGAAUUUAAGCAGAGAAAGAAUUAGGCUGAAUAAUUUGAGACGUGCUGCUCCCCUCACGUACGCGAGCACAGCAAUCACUAUAAAGCAAUCUCGUUAUAUAAAAACUUUUAAGCCCAAGAAAUGUAGAAACAAAUCAAUGGAAAAGUAGGUUUUUAGAGUUGGUUUUUAAAAGCUUGGUGUAGUGGCAUCUGGCUGGGGCAUCCUGCCCCUGUCUUGGAGGAGCAGGGCUUGGUUUAGAUACCACAGAGUCUUGGCACAGCCCUUAGCUCGUGGGUGCAUUCCCAGGACGCAGACACGCGCACUGUUUGUCUAGCAGCUUAUCCCGGAAACUGGGACUCAGCCCGGCCUCCCAGCCCCGGGCUCAGUCCCGAGAGCUCACCGUGCAGACGUCCUGUCCGAGGUGCUCGCAGAAGGGGUGAGCCUUCUGGUCUGCGGCUGGUCUCUGCAGGGGGCAGCGCACAAGUAGGGCAAGGCUUUGCUCAGCGUUUCUAAGUGUACCAUUGCUCUCAUUUCGAGAGAGAGACGGGUGGUUACAGAGCAGGAGACAAAACAGCCUGCUUCCUACAGACAAAAGGCUUCGCUUAACUCACCCUUCCUGUGCCAGGCCCGGAGGUCAGCUUGUGUCCAGAGGGGAUCCCUCUGCCCCCUCAGAGCCCUGGUACUGGCAGCUCCCCUUGCAGCCUGAGCUCCUUCCCCUCUGUAACUUCCCAGUCCCUCAAUCAGGCAAUUUGGCCCUGAGCUUUCUCCAGGUGAUCACAGUCCUCUGCCAGGUGACUCUGUUGCCAAGGAAACCUCUCCCCUGACAAUCUGGCGCUCCUCCAUCGGAGCUAGCGUACUGUCAGGGUUUUUACAUUUCAGGGGUGCCGCCGUUCCAUCGAAGCCCCUCUGCUGCUCACUCCGGGCUGGUGCGUUUUGGAUGCUUUCAGACAGGAGGCAAAGACCAGCUUUACCAUGCAGAGGGAGUGUGCAGUCAGACACGCCUAUGCUGAGUUCAUCUGCUAAAACAGAAUCCUAACUGGAGAGGUGCCCCAAAUCUUCACGGCAGAAGAUGAGCUGGAUUUCUGCAGGAGCGAGCUCCUCAUCGUUGGGGUUGCCCUGGCACAAGCUUGGUUGCCUGCUGACUUCAAGUGCAAAGGCAGACGCUCCCAACACCGAGAGGUAGGUGAGCACAGAAGCCCAGGCGAAGGUCCGCAGGAGGAGGUCUUGAUUAAACCAGGGUCCGUCCCCUUCAUAACUUUGCAUGCUCACACAAGCUGCCUUGCACUGAAUUGACCACUUACUGGGCAGCCGGCAUGCAGAAUGCCGAGCUGGCUGAAUAUGAUCACGACAGCUCAGAUCAGCAAGCAAGCCGCGGCAUUUCUGAGCAAGCUGUAAGGAGCAGCUCAGCCUCACCAACAACCCAGCAAAAAGGGAACGGUAGGAAUCGAGCCUGGCGGUUGGGAGAGCAUGCCUUGCUGUUACCAGGUCAUUGCGAGGCAAGUAGCAGAAAACAUUGUCACUGAGCCCACUGCAAUCCCUUGGUAGGUGCCGGGGCCUGAGAGUGCUUUUAAUGAGAUAUUUAAAUUUAAACCGGUGCUGGAGGUUAUAUCAUGGGUAAUGUCCUGUGUUGGCAAAAGAGGGGGCUAAGGGAAAUUUCAUCUGCUGCUGAAGCCAACAAAAGGCACCAGAACGUCUUACUGGGUUUCCUGCUGAAGGACCAAACUGCAGGUAAUGUAUUCCUUGGUUUUUGUUAACAACAAGUAGAUGUCUGAUCUUCCUGCCAAGGCAGCCAGAUGAAAAUUAAAUUUGUGUCUAAGCGGUGCAGAACUUUCAAAUAACAGCCACAAAAGCAUAAGGCAUUUUUCCUUCCCCUCUUAUUUCCUUGACUCUUUCAAGAUAAGCAUGUGUGACUUGGCUGUCAGUGCAGCUGUAACUCAUCAGUGAAAAGAAAUCAGUGCCUAAUACAUAGAAUCAGAUAUUCCAAAAAGGCAAUGGCAAAAAAUCACCUUUUCUUUAUGUAGAUGAAUGUGUCUGUUCACAGAAUACCGUUUCUAUUAGCAAGGUACCGUAAACUUGCUGUCCAGGGUGGGUAGAACGAGCAUGCAAAAAUUGAAAUCAUUACCUAGGUAUUGUUAGGAUUAAGUUGCUUUUAUCAGGACAGACCCUGGAGUCAGGAACUCACAAGUCUGUAUCUUUGAUUUUGAUAAGUGGGAGGUGAAGGAGCUUGAAGCUCAGACUCAGGGGAGCUUCACAACAUGCUCCUGGGCUGCGUGGAGCAUCUAGCUAUCAAUACAGUGUUACACACUUCAGGAGAAAAGAAGAAUAAUCAAAUACUCCUUGGUAUGCAUGGCCUCAGCCUGGGAGGGAUGCUUUUGUCUUGUUUGUUUGGGUUUUUUGACUGCAGAUCUGAGUGGGAGAGAAGGGUUUCAGCUAUUUUUAAAUAAUAAUAAUAAUAAUAAACAAUCAAACCAAAAGCCUUUGGCAUAUUCAGAGGGUUUUGUACUCAGAUUCCUUCACUCUAGUAAAUCAUACCAGUAUUCAUCAGGUGAGUUGUUCCUCAUUGAACCUAAUAACUUUGCUUAUUUUCAAAUCUUUUACUGCUAGAAAAUGUGAAGGUAGCAUUGUUUGGCCUUGGCGAUUACGUAGCUCAGCGUUCCACGAAUGCCUGUUGGCAAACAAGGAACAAAACCAAGUACGAAGUGCCCGUUCGGACUAUCGAAAGAGCGGCCCCGUACUCCCUACAGUCUGUCAGGGUGGUCACUGGCACCGUAUGUUCCAAAUCCAUGUCUUUCCAGAAUUUUAAAAGAACAAUUGGAGUGGCAUUGUUCUGCAUUUGGACAUCCUCAGACUGAGCUUGUGGCCUCUUGCUUGCAGAAGGGGCAGCAAGCGCAAGUCAGGUGGGUGCAGUAACUCCUAAAAGCAUGAAUUGGGUCCCAAGGCACUGGGUAGCAUGAAACUCUCUGGGGUAUUGUUUGCCAAUGAGCAGUCUGAUAAUAAAUGCUCUUCUCCUGCAUUUCAUUAGGCCGGUACGGUGCACCGUCGCUCAGUAUCCUACCAAAUCAGCUCACGAGGGGGUGGAGAAUCGGGGAAAUGUAGGACUGGCGUUGAGCAUCUAAUUUUCCUUCCUAGGCUAUAAUACACGCAGGACAAACGUGGUUUGGAGACACCAUCUUUUGAUGACGUAGUAGGCUCUGAAGGCGAUUCUGGGGCAGCAUCUAGGAAAGAGACUUCCAUGCCCAGAGGUUCUUCCCAGUCUCUAGAGAUGGUCAGAUGGCUUUUUAAACUUCUAACUUGUGGAUAAAGAGCGUGGUUGUGGCUGUCGUGACAAAUUGGGUUUAAGGUAUUAAUAAAUACCUGGACACCUACAGAAGCUUUUGCUGGGAUGUGGGUGCAGGAGAGGCAGCAGAGGCAGGUUAGUAAUUGCAGCCCUGUGGGCUGUCCUUAAGCUGUGUCUUCCAAAGCCAAAGGAGGAUUCAGUUCCAAAAGUCAGGGAGCAAAUCCAGGAACUACACCAUGCCACUGUUUGCCAAUAUGUUGUCCACAGCCCCAGUGAAGAACAGGAAGUGCAAACUGUAAAGAUAGUGUUGCAAGGCGACACACUCUUCAGGCCAAAACUACCUUUUACUUUAGUUCUCUUUUCUUAAUUCUCAUGGCUCAGGUGCACAGCAAAAUAGGUAGAAUUCUGCAGUAGCCCAAAGUAUGUGUGUCUGAGGAGGGGAGUGGGGGGCGUAAAUCUCCCACAUUUUUUUAAAUGUUUGCAUGCGGUGACUUGGACAAUUGUCUUUGCAGUGCCUUAUGUUUGGGACCAACUGGCUAAGCAGCAGCUCUGCAGCAAAGGACCUGGGGUUACAGUGGACAGUCAGAUGGCUACGAAUCAGCAGCGUGCCCUUGUUGCCAAGAAGGCUAAUGGUAUACUGGGCUGCACUGGUAGGAGCAUUGCCAGCAGGUCGAGGGCAGUGAUUCUUGCGCACCCCACUACAGACAGGAUGUGGACACAUUGGAGAGACUCCAGUGGUGGGCAGUGACAAUGGUUGUGGGCUGGGGGACAGGAUUUCUGAGGACAGGCUGAGGGAACUGAGUUUAUUUAGUCUGGAAAAGAGAAGACUGAGGGGGAUUGAAUAGCAGCCUUCACCUCCCUGCAGGGGGGCUGCAAAGAGGAUGGAGCUGGGCUGGUCUCAGUGGGGGCAGACGACAGGACAAGGAGCAAUGGGCUCCAGCUGCAGCAAGGGAAGUUGAGGUUGGAUAUUAGGAGAAACUCUGUCAUGAGGACUGUAGUAAAGCACUGGGAUGGGUUACCCAGAGAGGUGGCGAAGUCUCCACCCUUGGAGGUUUCUAAGACCCAGUUCAACAAAGCCUUGUCUGGGAUGAUGUAGUUGGAGCUGGUCCUGCUUGGAGCAGGGGGCUGGACUGGAUCUGACCUCCUGAGCUCCCUUCAACCCUUGUUUUCUAUGAUGUAUUAUCUAUGAUUCUAUGUCGGCUCAAAGCUGAGAGCAUUUGUAAAACCAUGAUCCAGGAAAAUGAUUCUAGUAGUUUUCCUUUUCUACAGCAAAAAGACCAUUUCUUCAAAUCAUUUCCCUCUUUUUUUGUAACCCUUGUCAUGCUUUCAUUUUAUGUAGAAGAAGGGCUCAGAGGAGGGUAGCUGAUCAGGUGGGAGGCAGAGCACUAAAUACCACAUUACAGGAGGACAGGGCAGGAUGCAGAAAGCAGCCAGUUUUUAAGGCAUGAAGAGAUGGAAAGCUUUUGCAUGUUCCUGUAUAGCUGCCAUUUUGAGCAUGGGGUUGGAAGGGUAGAUCAGAACAGUGGCAGUUCCCAGCAGUAGGUUGUUUAAAUCUCCCAAUCCAGCUACACUGUGAUAUAUCAUACAAUAUUUACUAAAAAAUAUUUUCAGGUUUGAGUCUGCCCCUGAUUUAGUUUAAUCCUGGCAGUGACUUGGAGGACUUCUGGUCCUGCCUUGGAGUUCGCUGGGUGAACUCCUAGAUUUUGGGAUCCAUUUCUUGUCUGCAACACAAUUGAUAUCAUUGGGGGUGUUAUAAAUGGUGUCCACAAAAUCCAAGGGUCGAGUUGUAGGUUCUCUAGCAAACAUAUGGUCCAACUCCUCUCAGCAGCUGCAGAUCCUGUGGCGUCUCCCAGGGGCCCCAUUAUUGUCUUGAACACUCUUACAGCACAGCUGGAGUUCCUUCCCUGUAUUUUGGCAUUGGCUUGGGUUUCAAUUGUUCUCUUUUUUCUGCAUCUGUUCUGAUAACUGCUUGUGUAUCUCUCUGUUACAAAUGAGCCUAUACGUGCUGAGUAAAUGAGGUCCAGGAGCUCUGCAGAUAACUCCCACAGAAGCCUGAGACAUGACUGCUGAAUAAUCAGGAGCAUUGCAGAGGUAUAAGAACCACACAACGGAGGACCACAACUAGCUACAAGCCAACCUUUAAACGGGGAAGAGAUGUCCAGUCAGGAGGACCUUAGAGCAGUAGAGGCUCACAGUGAAAUGGAAAAGGACAAUGCAGGCACCCAGCAAAGCGGUGCAGGAUACCAGCGGGGUACUUGGAAAACGUGUAACAUUUGUUUGGGGAGGGAGAUGCAACUCCUCAUGCUUUUUUUAUGCGUAGACUCAUCCCACUUCUUAGUAAAUCUGCUUCCACGGUGGAUUUAGUAGUGCCAGAUGACUUUGUUUGUAGACACAAGACACUUUAAUGUGAAAUAACUAAUUAAACUGCGACAAACUCAAGUAUAAACAAGUCCUCAGGGUCAGGGCCUAAGUGUUCUUUUGUCAGAGCUAUUUGCUAUGACUAUCUAUCUUAGGUUUUCUGUUUAAAAAUAAGACCAUAGAAUGGUUCAUUUUCAUAGUUUCAUAGUUUCUAGGGUCGGAAAGGACCUGAACAGAUCAUCAGAUCCGACUCCCUGCCCUGGGCAGGAACGAGUGCUGGGAUCAUAAUACCCCAGCCAGAUAUCUAUCCAACCUCCUCUUGAAGACCCCCAAGGUAGGGGAGAGCACCACCUCCCUUGGGAGCCCAUUCCAGAGCCUGGCAGCCCUAACCGUAAAGUAAUGCUUCCUGAUAGCUUGAGCCUGAGCCUGAGCCGGCUCUCAAUCAACCUGUGGCCAUUAUUCCUUGUUAUCCCAGGUGGUGCCUGGGGGAACAGAGCCUCACCUAUUUUCCGCUGGUCCUGCAUGGUGGGUUUAUAAAUCCCCUCUCAGAUCCCCUCUCAGUCUUCUCUAAUGGAGGUUGAACAGGUUCAGGUCCCGUAGUCUCUCCUCGUAGGGCCUGCCCUGCUGUCCCCGGAUCAUGCGAGUGGCCCUCCUCCAGACCCUCUCCAUGCUGGCCACAUCCCUCCUUAAGUGCGGCGCCCAGAACUGGACACAGUACUCCAGCUGCGGCCUGACCAGCGCUGCAUAGAGGGGGAGGAUCACCUCCCUGGACCUGCUUGUGAUGCAUCUGUGGAUGCAUGACAAGGUGCAGUUAGCCUUACUUUUUAACACAUUAGUUAUUGACACUUUCAGUGGAAAUACAAAAGUCAAAUGCAAAAUCUUAUGGCCAUCUUUGAUGCUCAUUUAUUCACAGUUAGUGUACAUAUUAAGUCUCCAUUUGUAAAACGAUUGUGUUAAAUCCAAGUUCUUUCAGGAACGAUAUUGAUAUAAACACCUUUAGACGGGUAAAACUACCUCCACAUUAGGGGGUUGCACUAUAUCUGUUUCUGAACCCGUGUAACUGAAUCUGUACAAAAACUGUGUGGAGACAAACCUCACUAAUUAUACUCUUAUUAAUUAUACAGCAGUACAGCUAUGCGUGGGACUAUAAGAUAUACAGUAAUGCACAUUCAUAUCCUGAAGAGCUUCCAGUUAAGAGGAAACAGAAAAGGGAUGGGAAAAAAGAGCUCGGGACCAGGAAUGUGUUGAUAGGAGAACAAAGGGUGAAGGAGUCCAUGAAAGAAGUGUCUUUAAAAAGAGGUUUGAAAGGGAGGUGGCUGGAGUUUGGUCCAAGUCCUGGGGGUAGUGUGCACUACCCCUGUGGCGUGAUAUAAUGACCAGUCAUCCGCAGAUGUGGUUGUUUGAAAUGCCUCCACAUCAUCGUCAUGGAGUGGUUCUGCUCUCCUUGACUGUGUGAGCUUGGAACUCGGGCACAGCGUUGUCCAACAUGGCUGUCCAAAUGCUCUGAGUUGGUACAGAGUUAUAGAUCACCCUAAAUCACCUUUCAAGAAAGCACCCUGAAGAAGAAUCUGAUCCAUCUGCUACCAUCUGUAAGUUGGAGCUUGUUCUGAUGCCGUGCCCAUCACCAUCGGAGCUGCGCACCCAGCAGGUGAAGAUGGAGAAAUUCAGAAGAGUUUGGGAUGUCUGUGUUUCGUCUCUGUGUGGCCGUCUUGCUGCUCUCCAGAAGCAAGCAGCAUAUAAGCAGAAAAAUGUCAGAACCCAUCUUUGGAUGGGGAAGAGGAAACAGUUUAGAAGGUAAAGCCACCCAGGGUGACAAGUAGGUACACUACCCUACCCUAUUUUUCUAUGAUUCUAGCCCUCCAACAACUAUUCCAAUGGAGACAGGAAAGCUGACUUGCUGACAGUAUGUCAUUAAACCUGAAAGUCAAGCUUUUUCUACUGGGUUGGCAGCUCUAUAUAAUGAGUUUGUUUUACUCUGCCACCAUCUAUAAGUUGGAGGACUCCAGGUAGAAAUUAAGGUGCAAAAGGUAGUUGAAACUGGAUGGUCAGUUUAAUCUCUGAAUGAUUCUCAUUGCAAAGUAGUUUUCAUUCCUUUUCUAAAAAAUUCUGCAUUUUGACUCAGCUGAAGGACACGUACGUUCAAGUCUUCUUGUUCAACUCAUCAGUGAGCAAAAAUAUAAUUUUGAGAGGAAGGCAAUAAACUUCCAGAAUUUCUCCCCCCCCCCCCAAAUUUAUUCUUUCUUUGACUUCAGUUUUUGGUACUCAAAACCUCUCAGAAUAAAGACCUGUCUUAUUUCUUAUUUUAGGCUCUAAUCUCAGAUAUGCUAUUACUGGUAAGAAAAGAAAAGAAAGCAACUGUGUCAAUCAGGAAAUGUUAAUUUGUUCAAAUUGAAAUGUUUUGUUAGAAUGUGUUGACUUCAACAAAAUGUGAUGGAAAUACUUCAAGAUUAUUCCAAAUUAAAAUGAAGUACUCUGCUUCACCUUUGUCAGUUUA